This 411-nucleotide long non-coding RNA is filed under the name Polistes fuscatus (common paper wasp). RNAcentral describes it as "uncharacterized LOC122519024". Lineage: Eukaryota; Metazoa; Arthropoda; Insecta; Hymenoptera; Vespidae. The record is from RNAcentral.
GCUGGAGUUCUGGGAGUUACAGCAACAUUUGUUGGAAGAGAAUAAUCAGCUAAUAAACUAUCCGAUAAUGUAAUUCCACUUUCGGUAGCAACUUCACGUGCAACCUCUGAUGCACGUCCAAGUUUAACCACUUGUUGUAACUCUUGAUCAGAAAUCUGUGGUUCAGAAAAAUCUAUUGCAAGUGGAUCUAUAUGUUCCUUAGAAGUAUCAUAAAAUCCUGGAGCAGGACGUUUUACAAAAGAUUUGCAUCAUGUCAAACACGAAAGAAACAAGGAAAGGAUUAAAAAGAAAGUUUAUAUCUCUUGAAGAUAAAAUCGAAAUUCUAAAUCGUUUAGAAGGUGGGGAAAAUCUAUCGUCGGUUGCAAAAUCAACCAAGUUGAAUGAAUCUACAAUUCGAACCCUAAAGAAAAA